This 77-nucleotide transfer RNA is filed under the name bacterium. Its description in RNAcentral is "tRNA-Ile". It matches the Rfam family "tRNA". Rfam says of the family: Transfer RNA (tRNA) molecules are approximately 80 nucleotides in length. Their secondary structure includes four short double-helical elements and three loops (D, anti-codon, and T loops). RNAcentral also lists the same sequence under 2 other names. The record is from RNAcentral.
GGGCGAUUAGCUCAGGUGGUUAGAGCGCGUCACUGAUAAUGACGAGGUCCCAGGUUCGAGUCCUGGAUCGCCCACCA